This 72-nucleotide transfer RNA is filed under the name Eupsophus vertebralis (Valdivia ground frog). RNAcentral describes it as "tRNA-Leu". The record is from RNAcentral. Lineage: Eukaryota; Metazoa; Chordata; Amphibia; Anura; Alsodidae.
GCUUUUGAAGGAAAAUAGUCUUCCCCUGGUUUUAGGACCCAGUAUUUCUUAGUGCAAAUCUAAGUAAAAGCU